RNAcentral lists this ribosomal RNA (253 nucleotides) under uncultured bacterium. RNAcentral describes it as "partial 16S ribosomal RNA". It matches the Rfam family "Bacterial small subunit ribosomal RNA", at positions 524 to 776 of the family's 1533-position model. The record is from RNAcentral.
UACGGAGGAUGCAAGCGUUAUCCGGAUUUAUUGGGUUUAAAGGGUGCGUAGGCGGAAUGAUAAGUCAGUGGUGAAAUCCUGCAGCUUAACUGUAGAACUGCCAUUGAUACUGUCAUUCUUGAGUUCGGUUGAGGUAGGCGGAAUGUGUAAUGUAGCGGUGAAAUGCAUAGAUAUUACACAGAACACCGAUUGCGUAGGCAGCUUACUAAGCCGUUACUGACGCUGAGGCACGAAAGCGUGGGGAUCGAACAGG